AGUGAACGCUGGCGGUAGGCCUAACACAUGCAAGUCGAACGGCAGCACAGUAAGAGCUUGCUCUUACGGGUGGCGAGUGGCGGACGGGUGAGGAAUACAUCGGAAUCUACUUUUUCGUGGGGGAUAACGUAGGGAAACUUACGCUAAUACCGCAUACGACCCACGGGUGAAAGCAGGGGAUCUUCGGACCUUGCGCGAUUGAAUGAGCCGAUGUCGGAUUAGCCAGUUGGCGGGGUAAAGGCCCACCAAGGCGACGAUCCGUAGCUGGUCUGAGAGGAUGAUCAGCCACACUGGAACUGAGACACGGUCCAGACUCCUACGGGAGGCAGCAGUGGGGAAUAUUGGACAAUGGGCGCAAGCCUGAUCCAGCCAUACCGCGUGGGUGAAGAAGGCCUUCGGGUUGUAAAGCCCUUUUGUUGGGAAAGAAAAGCAGCAGGUUAAUACCCCGCUGUUCUGACGGUACCCAAAGAAUAAGCACCGGCUAACUUCGUG
This 492-nucleotide ribosomal RNA is filed under the name uncultured bacterium. Its description in RNAcentral is "partial 16S ribosomal RNA". It matches the Rfam family "Bacterial small subunit ribosomal RNA", at positions 29 to 507 of the family's 1533-position model. The record is from RNAcentral.